Molecule: ribosomal RNA, 497 nt
Filed under: uncultured bacterium
Lineage: Bacteria
Description: partial 16S ribosomal RNA
Rfam family: Bacterial small subunit ribosomal RNA
Source: RNAcentral
GACGAACGCUGGCGGCGUGCCUAAUACAUGCAAGUUGAGCGAUGAAGAUUGGUGCUUGCACCAAUUUGAAGAGCAGCGAACGGGUGAGUAACGCGUGGGGAAUCUGCCUUUGAGCGGGGGACAACAUUUGGAAACGAAUGCUAAUACCGCAUAAUAACUUUAAACAUAAGUUUUAAGUUUGAAAGAUGCAAUUGCAUCACUCAAAGAUGAUCCCGCGUUGUAUUAGCUAGUUGGUGAGGUAAAGGCUCACCAAGGCGAUGUUACAUAGCCGACCUGAGAGGGUGAUCGGCCACAUUGGGACUGAGACACGGCCCAAACUCCUACGGGAGGCAGCAGUAGGGAAUCUUCGGCAAUGGACGAAAGUCUGACCGAGCAACGCCGCGUGAGUGAAGAAGGUUUUCGGAUCGUAAAACUCUGUUGGUAGAGAAGAACGUUGGUGAGAGUGGAAAGCUCAUCAAGUGACGGUAACUACCCAGAAAGGGACGGCUAACUACGUG